GGGUACCGCUCUCAUCCCUCUAGCCGCGCUCGGUAUAAGCGCAGGCUUU
This 49-nucleotide non-coding RNA is filed under the name unclassified sequences. The record is from RNAcentral.